This 268-nucleotide ribosomal RNA is filed under the name uncultured bacterium. Its description in RNAcentral is "partial 16S ribosomal RNA". It matches the Rfam family "Bacterial small subunit ribosomal RNA", at positions 524 to 785 of the family's 1533-position model. The record is from RNAcentral.
UACGAGGGCGCGAGCGUUGUCCGGAUUUAUUGGGCGUAAAGAGCUCGUAGGCGGCUUGUCGCGUCGAAUGUGAAAACCCACGGCUCAACUGUGGGCUUGCAUUCGAUACGGGCAGGCUAGAGUUCGGUAGGGGAGACGUGGAAUUCCUGGUGUAGCGGUGAAAUGACGCAGAUAUCAGGAGGGAACACCGGUGGCGAAGGCGGGUCUCUGGGCCGAUACUGACGCUGAGGAGCGAAAGCGUGGGGAGCGAACAGGAUUAGAACCGUAC